This 392-nucleotide ribosomal RNA is filed under the name uncultured bacterium. RNAcentral describes it as "bacterial SSU rRNA". It matches the Rfam family "Bacterial small subunit ribosomal RNA", at positions 129 to 518 of the family's 1533-position model. The record is from RNAcentral.
CCGCUUACUCGGGGAUAGCCUUUCGAAAGAAAGAUUAAUACCCGAUGGUAUAAAGAGUUCGCAUGUUCUCUUUAUUAAAGAAUUUCGGUAAGCGAUGGGGAUGCGUUCCAUUAGAUAGUUGGCGGGGUAACGGCCCACCAAGUCUACGAUGGAUAGGGGUUCUGAGAGGAAGGUCCCCCACAUUGGAACUGAGACACGGUCCAAACUCCUACGGGGGGCAGCAGUGAGGAAUAUUGGUCAAUGGACGGGAGUCUGAACCAGCCAAAAGUAGCGUGAAGGAUGACUGCCCUAUGGGUUGUAAACUUCUUUUAUAAGGGAAUAAAGUGAGGGACGUGUCCCUUUUUGUAUGUACCUUAUGAAUAAGGAUCGGCUAACUCCGUGCCAGCAGCCGC